Molecule: ribosomal RNA, 392 nt
Filed under: uncultured bacterium
Lineage: Bacteria
Description: bacterial SSU rRNA
Rfam family: Bacterial small subunit ribosomal RNA
Source: RNAcentral
AGUGAACGCUGGCGGUAGGCCUAACACAUGCAAGUCGAACGGCAGCACAGCGGUAGCAAUACUGUGGGUGGCGAGUGGCGGACGGGUGAGGAAUACAUCGGAAUCUACCUUUUCGUGGGGGAUAACGUAGGGAAACUUACGCUAAUACCGCAUACGACCUUAGGGUGAAAGUAGGGGAUCGCAAGACCUUACGCGGAUAGAUGAGCCGAUGUCGGAUUAGCUAGUUGGCGGGGUAAAGGCCCACCAAGGCUACGAUCCGUAGCUGGUCUGAGAGGAUGAUCAGCCACACUGGAACUGAGACACGGUCCAGACUCCUACGGGAGGCAGCAGUGGGGAAUAUUGGACAAUGGGCGCAAGCCUGAUCCAGCCAUACCGCGUGGGUGAAGAAGGCC